RNAcentral lists this non-coding RNA (31 nucleotides) under Rattus norvegicus (Norway rat). Lineage: Eukaryota; Metazoa; Chordata; Mammalia; Rodentia; Muridae. The record is from RNAcentral.
AUGCUGAACAAUACAGAAACGGCCCAGCUGC